Molecule: long non-coding RNA, 1653 nt
Organism: Clupea harengus (Atlantic herring)
Lineage: Eukaryota; Metazoa; Chordata; Actinopteri; Clupeiformes; Clupeidae
Source: Ensembl
AAAUAAACAAAAUGUUUAGUUUUGCUGAACUACGGUCACAUUCUAUUUCAUAACAUCUCUGCACUUUCAGUACAUUGGUAGUUUCUCUGCGUCUGACUGCACUCCUGAGGACCUCCUUGUCUAUUCAUUUAGCAUGUCCAAAAUAUUGAAUGUGUUUGAAAAGCUUCCAGCAACAUUAGAGCUAUAUCUCUUCUUAGUUAGAGGUAUCACAUUGCUCAAGACUUCCUGUGUCGGAAGUCAUAUGGUGAAGAGCACUAUAUCACCUUAAAUAGCCCUCAGACUCUGGUUUCAGUCUGCUGUUCUAAAGGAGACAAGCCAUGUGAUGUGUUGCCAUGGACGCUGGGUGCCCUGGCGACGCUAGGAAAUAUAUUGUUACAUAGUCUCUGUCCUGUAUUCCAUUGACCACAGAGCCUUGUGGUUAUAAGGUUUGGAGAGGCAGGUACGGCUUUACACUUUCUACAAUAUGUAGUCACAGAAUGUUUGCAUAUUAAACUGUUCUGUGCAUAUACAAUAUAAAUGAAAAGUAGCAUAAUAUAGGUUUGUCUUAGGCCUUUGUCAUAUAAUGUUGCCUUUUCAAAUGAAUAAUGUUUUAUACAUACAGGUAGACUUAACAGAAGUCAUUUGUAGGAAUGAUUGACAACAUUUCUACCUUUCUAGUGUAAACUGUCAGGAUCCUCCUUUUUGAGUGUCAGUAUUGAAAUGAACAAUGGCUCACUUCAGUAGAGUUCUGGAACUUUCCCAACCCAAAGACUCUAAAACAAUUUGGAUCACCAUUCCAUGGUAUGUUCCUUUAAAUAUGCUUACACUACGGAUUUCUUUAAAUACCGGUGUGCAUAUAUUCAUUUGUGUAGAGGAUUCCAUGGCCUUUUAAAUCACCUAAUUUUGACUUUGUGUAAGUAAUCUUGUGUGAAUUUGUCCCAAGUGAGCAAGCCAUUUUAUUAUUUUAACAGGUAUGUGAGAUGGGGCAACCAAGAGCCAAUAUGGCCAAUCUCCUUUACUGCUCUGAAUGCAGCGCCUACAGCGAGACUCUCAGCACUGGCACAGCCCAAGAAAGACUUCUCGGGAUUAAACAGAUGCCAUCGGACCAGGUAUCCUCACACAACCUGGUGUGAGCACAGCUGUCCGAUCUGGCACCUCGACCCCAAAGUCAAGACUGCUUACGUCUCACCACGCCUUAGACAGCUGGCCAGUCCCAAAACCAACCAUCCUAGCUUCCAGAGCAACAAGGUGAGACAACCUCCCUGUGACCGGAGCUCUAUUUAUGACCUGGAAGUGCAAACCAUGCAAACAGCAACGAUAACAAUGAGGAUGUGACUUCCUUAAACAGAGUCUUUGUAUUACUGUGACAGGUACUUUGGUUAAGUGUCACUCACAGAACAUGUGUGUUCAUAAGAGACAUGCACUGCGUCAGAGUCUGUCUGUGUUUGGUGUUUUUUUUAGAUCGUGGAGACUUGCAUCUCGCAGACUGCUAAAAGUGCACAGACCACAUCGAGGCUGGAUCUGCUGGCUUUGUCCAAAAAAAGAGAGGAUACGAUGUUCUAUGACAGAGGACGUCCAGAGCAGCCUAUUUGGCUGGUGUCGAAGGGUGCAAUGAAAGCCAAGGCCAGUCCUCGGAUCUCAGAGCUGUCAUUGCCCAAACUGCUUUCCACGGAC